CCGUAAGAGACCCUAGGGUCUUGAGACUGUGUCCAAAUGGACGCGUGCUCGACUCUUCUUUCUUUAUCCACACACCUCUGUGCACUAUGGGAUGUAAAAGUCCCCUUUUUCAUACAAAAACCGAGUUAUAUGCAUGGUAUUUUAUGCUCUACGGAGUAACAUA
RNAcentral lists this unclassified non-coding RNA (163 nucleotides) under uncultured Geastrum. RNAcentral's name for it is "sequence contains ITS1". The record is from RNAcentral. Lineage: Eukaryota; Fungi; Basidiomycota; Agaricomycetes; Geastrales; Geastraceae.